ACAGCUCAGUGGCAGAGCAUCCGCUUAGCACGGAGAAGGUCCCAGGUUCAAACCCCGGAAUA
RNAcentral lists this transfer RNA (62 nucleotides) under Sphaerodactylus townsendi. Its description in RNAcentral is "tRNA-Ala". Lineage: Eukaryota; Metazoa; Chordata; Lepidosauria; Squamata; Sphaerodactylidae. The record is from RNAcentral.